Molecule: ribosomal RNA, 684 nt
Filed under: uncultured Candidatus Saccharibacteria bacterium
Lineage: Bacteria; Candidatus Saccharimonadota
Description: bacterial SSU rRNA
Rfam family: Bacterial small subunit ribosomal RNA
Source: RNAcentral
AUAGGCGGUUUAAUAAGUGAAUAGUGAAACCUGGUGGCUCAACCAUACAGACUAUUAUUCAAACUGUUAAACUCGAGAAUGGUAGAGGUAACNUGGAAUUUCUAGUGUAGGAGUGAAAUCCGUAGAUAUUAGAAGGAACACCGAUGGCGUAGGCAGGUUACUGGGCCAUUUCUGACGCUAAGGCACGAAAGCGUGGGGAGCGAACCGGAUUAGAUACCCGGGUAGUCCACGCCGUAAACGAUGGAUACUAGCNUGUUGGAGGUAUCGACCCCUUCAGUAGCGAAGCUAACGCGUUAAGUAUCCCGCCUGUGGAGUACGGCCGCAAGGCUAAAACAUAAAGGAAUUGACGGGGACCCGCACAAGCGGUGGAUUAUGUUCUUUAAUUCGAUGAUAACCGAAGAACCUUACCAGGGCUUGACAUCCAGGGAAGGUCUGCGAAAGUAGACUGUGCCUUUUGGAACCCUGUGACAGGUGAUGCAUGGCCGUCGUCAGCUCGUGUCGUGAGAUGUUAGGUUAAGUCCUUCAACGAGCGCAACCCUUGUGAAUAGUUGUAUUUUUCUAUUCAGACUGCCCCGGUAACGGGGAGGAAGGAGGGGNAUGAUGUCAGGUCAGUAUUUCCCUUACGUCCUGGGCUAGAAACGUAAUACAAUGGCUAGUACAAUGCGCAGCGAAGCCGCGAGGUGA